CCUACGGGAGGCAGCAGUGGGGAAUAUUGCACAAUGGGGGAAACCCUGAUGCAGCCAUGCCGCGUGUGUGAAGAAGGCCCUCGGGUUGUAAAGCACUUUCAGUCGUGAGGAAAGGGGUGUAGCUAAUAUCUGCAUCCUGUGACGUUAGCGACAGAAGAAGCACCGGCUAACUCCGUGCCAGCAGCCGCGGUAAUACGGAGGGGGUUAGCGUUGUUCGGAAUUACUGGGCGUAAAGCGCGCGUAGGCUGGAUCGGAAAGUUGGGGGUGAAAUCCCGGGGCUCAACCCCGGAACUGCCUCCAAAACUAUCGGUCUAGAGUUCGAGAGAGGUGAGUGGAAUUCCGAGUGUAGAGGUGAAAUUCGUAGAUAUUCGGGGGAACACCAGUGGCGAAGGCGGCUCACUGGCUCGAUACUGACGCUGAGGUGCGAAAGUGUGGGGAGCAAACAGGAUUAGAUACCCUGGUAGUCCACACCGUAAACGAUGGAUGCCAGUCGUCGGCAAGCAUGCUUGUCGGUGACACACCUAACGGAUUAAGCAUUCCGCCUGGGGAGUACGGUCGCAAGAUUAAAACUCAAAGGAAUUGACGG
This 586-nucleotide ribosomal RNA is filed under the name uncultured bacterium. RNAcentral describes it as "bacterial SSU rRNA". It matches the Rfam family "Bacterial small subunit ribosomal RNA", at positions 338 to 916 of the family's 1533-position model. The record is from RNAcentral.